AGUGAACGCUGGCGGUAGGCCUAACACAUGCAAGUCGAACGGCAGCACAGUAAGAGCUUGCUCUUACGGGUGGCGAGUGGCGGACGGGUGAGGAAUACAUCGGAAUCUACUUUUUCGUGGGGGAUAACGUAGGGAAACUUACGCUAAUACCGCAUACGACCUACGGGUGAAAGCAGGGGAUCUUCGGACCUUGCGCGAUUGAAUGAGCCGAUGUCGGAUUAGCUAGUUGGCGGGGUAAAGGCCCACCAAGGCGACGAUCCGUAGCUGGUCUGAGAGGAUGAUCGGCCACACUGGAACUGAGACACGGGCCAGACUCCUACGGGAGGCAGCAGUGGGGAAUAUUGGACAAUGGGCGCAAGCCUGAUCCAGCCAUACCGCGUGGGUGAAGAAGGCCUUCGGGUUGUAAAGCCCUUUUGUUGGGAAAGAAAAGCAGCAGGUUAAUACCCCGCUGUUCUGACGGUACCCAAAGAAUAAGCACCGGCUAACUUCGUG
Molecule: ribosomal RNA, 492 nt
Filed under: uncultured bacterium
Lineage: Bacteria
Description: partial 16S ribosomal RNA
Rfam family: Bacterial small subunit ribosomal RNA
Source: RNAcentral